AGGAAAAACACCCUCUGCCGCGAGGAACUGGGGCGGCAAGGCUCGGCGAGGCCCGAGAUGACAACACAUGGAGCGAGAAAAUCGAACGGUGUUGGUGACACCCCGGUUCCUUUGACCCAGUUCGUCGGAUUCCCAUUUACCCGAUUCAUUUCACCUGCUAUAGGUUUUCUUAUUUCAUACUCCAAAAGACUAGCGAUCCCCAUCUUUCUGCGACCUCAACCAGCGACAGCGAUAAGGUUCGUGUGACCGUGAUGGAGCAGCGAAGAUUUCUUAACCAAGUAUAUCAGCGACAACAGAGCCUCCUACGAUCAGUCUUUCGUUCUUGUUAGGGCUGUUUCACCUCAAUCGUUCAUAUCCAUUCCAACCUGUGUGAUAUCUUCCUCAGAGAGACCAACGAUUCUUUUUACGGGAAACAUCGACCAGUGAUGACGGUCGAGCAACCUCGAUGGACCAGCGACCAAAACUUCUUGCAGCUUGUUAAUUAUAGAUAGAGUUGAUGUAGGUGAAGAUGUUGAGACUAAGCCUCGGAAGGGCAUGUUCUUUAACUCAGAGAAUGAGGCUUAUGAUUUCUAUAACAGUUAUGGAGAUGGGCUACAAUCCCCUGUUUCAGCUCUUGGUGAUGGGGCAAAGCACGGGCAGAGGCUUGGUGGGGAUUUUCGUUUCGGUGUCAACCCUUAUAGGGCUUUUGGUGGCUGUGAGUCCUAUGAGUCUCACGACUCCACCACUCAUGGUUACUCAGCUAGGGGCUUGAGAGAGUUUAACUUGAACACGGUGCCAAUGAUCCACAGUCCCCUGCUUUUUCAUUUUGGAUGAAUCAGAAAUAGCCUACCCCCAUAUAUUUGGUAUUUUAGUCAAUAAUUUUUAAUCAUUCCUUGAUCUUUUUGGAUUUGUUUGCUAAAUGUAUGUAUUCCCUUUGCCAGUCAAACCUUUGUGAGGUGAGUCUUUAGCUCAAAAUGGAAGAGCAACUGGGAAUUACCCAAGGGGUAUGAUGGUUCGAAUCUAUCAAGAUUCUAAUUACUUGUUUGUGUGUAUGUGGAUGGUAUUAUUGUUGUUGUAUACAUUCUAAGGUUUCUUGGCUGUUUAUAGAGAAGUUAACAAAACUGAGAGGUAGAGUGAAGCCAAUAACUGGACCAGUAGUAGUGAGUGGCUUCCUUCUGCUCCUAGGAAGCUUUCCAUGAAUUAUCAAAACCUUUGAUUGACUCAAUUGAAACUUUUUUUUUUGGUUCAA
Molecule: long non-coding RNA, 1228 nt
Organism: Macadamia integrifolia
Lineage: Eukaryota; Viridiplantae; Streptophyta; Magnoliopsida; Proteales; Proteaceae
Exons: 2
Source: RefSeq, a predicted model, not a curated record